This 460-nucleotide ribosomal RNA is filed under the name uncultured bacterium. RNAcentral's name for it is "partial 16S ribosomal RNA". It matches the Rfam family "Bacterial small subunit ribosomal RNA", at positions 338 to 795 of the family's 1533-position model. The record is from RNAcentral.
CCUACGGGAGGCAGCAGUGAGGAAUAUUGGUCAAUGGACGAGAGUCUGAACCAGCCAAGUAGCGUGAAGGAUGACUGCCCUACGGGUUGUAAACUUCUUUUAUAUGGGAAUAAAACAGUCCACGUAUAGGCUUUGGUAUGUACCAUAUGAAUAAGGAUCGGCUAACACCGUGCCAGCAGCCGCGGUAAUACGGAGGAUCCGAGCGUUAUCCGGAUUUAUUGGGUUUAAAGGGAGCGUAGGUGGAUUGUUAAGUCAGUUGUGAAAGUUUGCGGCUCAACCGUAAAAUUGCAGUUGAAACUGGCAGUCUUGAGUACAGUAGAGGUAGGCGGAAUGCGUGGUGUAGCGGUGAAAUGCUUAGAUAUCACGAAGAACUCCGAUUGCGAAGGCAGCUCACUGGACUGCAACUGACGCUGAAGCUCGAAAGUGUGGGUAUCAAACAGGAUUAGAUACCCGAGUAGUC